Molecule: ribosomal RNA, 492 nt
Filed under: uncultured bacterium
Lineage: Bacteria
Description: partial 16S ribosomal RNA
Rfam family: Bacterial small subunit ribosomal RNA
Source: RNAcentral
AGUGAACGCUGGCGGUAGGCCUAACACAUGCAAGUCGAACGGCAGCACAGUAAGAGCUUGCUCUUACGGGUGGCGAGUGGCGGACGGGUGAGGAAUACAUCGGAAUCUACUUUUUCGUGGGGGAUAACGUAGGGAAACUUACGCUAAUACCGCAUACGACCUACGGGUGAAAGCAGGGGAUCUUCGGACCUUGCGCGAUUGAAUGAGCCGAUGUCGGAUUAGCUAGUUGGCGGGGUAAAGGCCCACCAAGGCGACGAUCCGUAGCUGGUCUGAGAGGAUGAUCAGCCACACCGGAACUGAGACACGGUCCAGACUCCUACGGGAGGCAGCAGUGGGGAAUAUUGGACAAUGGGCGCAAGCCUGAUCCAGCCAUACCGCGUGGGUGAAGAAGGCCUUCGGGUUGUAAAGCCCUUUUGUUGGGAAAGAAAAGCAGCAGGUUAAUACCCCGCUAUUCUGACGGUACCCAAAGAAUAAGCACCGGCUAACUUCGUG